RNAcentral lists this RNase P RNA (224 nucleotides) under Oscillospiraceae bacterium. RNAcentral describes it as "partial RNase P RNA component class A". It matches the Rfam family "Bacterial RNase P class A", at positions 1 to 243 of the family's 367-position model. Rfam says of the family: Ribonuclease P (RNase P) is a ubiquitous endoribonuclease, found in archaea, bacteria and eukarya as well as chloroplasts and mitochondria. Its best characterised activity is the generation of mature 5'-ends of tRNAs by cleaving the 5'-leader elements of precursor-tRNAs. Cellular RNase Ps are ribonucleoproteins. Lineage: Bacteria; Bacillati; Bacillota; Clostridia; Eubacteriales; Oscillospiraceae. The record is from RNAcentral.
CGAGGCUGUUGGGCGAUCGCAUGCAGUGCAUGAGGAAAGUCCGAGCUCCAUAGGGCAGGGUGCCGGGCAAUACCCGGCGGAGGCGACUCCAGGGAAAGUGCAACAGAAAGAAACCGCCCGCCUAGGCGGGUAAGGAUGGAAAGGCGAGGCAAGAGCUCACCCGCGGCCUGGCGACUGGCCCGCGAUGUAAACCCCACCCGGUGCAAGAUUGGAAUGGGAGCGCA